CAUCAUUCACUCUACUUACUCUUAAAUAUAGCAAAACCCUAAUCUAAGCUACUUUACAUUUUCUAUACAAUUUGCAGUUUGAAUUGUGAAUUUAUGAAAUUAAAGUUAGUUCUAUUGUUGCGAUUACCCUGAGUUUUGAGCAUUGACGAUUUUGAACAAUUUGGUGGUUGAAUAAAUUUUAAUUAUUGAUUUUUUUUCUAAUUUAGAUCCCUUGAUGUUUGAUGCACUCAUUAUUUGUUCGUAUUGAUGUAAUGCAUUGAUCAUUGAAUGUGUAUGAAUGUAUUUGCUAUCAUCCAUUCAAGGUUCGGGUUGUGAUUGAUAAAAGUAAUUUAGCUUGGCUAUGAUAAUUCUGUAAUUUAGCUUGGCUAUGAUGAUUAAGUAAUUUAGCUUGGCUAUGAUAAUUCAGUAAUUUAGCUUGGCUAUGAUGAUUCAGUAAAAUAAGCUUGGUUCCGUGCGCGUCUCACCUGCCAUCGCUUUAAGUUCGAGAAAUUUCUCGCAAUUCAGAUAAGAAUCGCCACUUUUCUGAAAGCACAAGCAAGAAGGCAUCGCCUGCGGCUUCCAAGACAAGCAAAAGCCCGGUUCUCCGGGCACUACGGUAGGACGUGGAUCGAUCAUGACGAGAAUGGACUUUUCCGCCGGGAAGGAUGCACCUCUGGUGUACCAGUUAUCGUGCCCACGGUAAACGCUGGGUAGCCAAGUGCGCAGAAUUGUCUCCACCUCCCGCCAACAGUCUUUCUUCGGAAUUUUACUGAACGGGUCGAUCCUCUCCUCCCGUUUGUUUUAUUUUAGCAACCUAUCCUAAGGUCUCUUGUGCUUGAUGGAUUUCUUUUUUUAGUCAUUCAGUCAUUGUAUACCAUGUGUUUAAAAUGUAGUAUGGUGUAUGUAUUUAUCCUCACCCAACUCAAUUGGGGCAGGUCACAAUACGAAAGAAAGUAGACGUGGAUAUGGUUGAGGGAAGAUCGAUGAAUGGAAAGAAGAAGGGAAUUUCGGAAUCAAAGAGGAAGAUGGGUAGCUUAAGUGAGGUUUUGGGGAGGGAGAAGUCUAGGGGAAUUGUGGUGUCAAUUGGUGGUGAGUCAAAAAUUGAUGACAGGAAACGAGGAAAGAGUGGUGUAGUGGAGGAACUGGUUGGAGAGAAGUCAAACAGGGGUUGUAGAAAACAACAUAGGAGUGGGGUUUCAGAAGAAUCAGAGACGGAACUGACUUUGGCUGAGAUUAAAAUGGGGGCAUUGAAGAAGAAGUUGAAAGGGAAGAAGAAAGUUAAUAUUAGGGAGGAGAGAGCGGUGUUGGAAGAGAAGAAGAAGAGGCAGCUAAUGUUAAUUGAGAAUCGGGAUAUGGAAGUAAUGACUGUUGAGGAUUCAGACUUUUAUGAUUUUGAUGAGGAUAGAGUUGAAAGGAGCUUCAAGAAGGGCCAAGUUUGGGCAAUAUAUGAUGAUGAUGAUGGGAUGCCUAGGCACUAUGGGGUGAUAGAUGAGGUUGUCUCAUUGAAUCCAUUUGAGGUGAAAAUGAGCUGGUUGGACUUCCAGAAUAAUGGAGAUGAGAGGCUGACAUCUUGGGAGAAAAUGGGAUUUCAUAUAUCUUGUGGAGUCUUUGUGGUGGCUAGGGAGGAUACUACAAAUUUAUUGAAUAUCUUCUCAUAUUUAGUUAAAUGUGAAAGAGCAGCCAAAAAGCUGUACAGGAUAUACCCUACAAAGGGUUCAAUUUGGGCUCUUUAUAAUGAAAGGGCAUUGGAUGUAGGGGGCAAGGAAUCUUUUAGUAAGGAUAAGCGAUGUUAUGACAUUGUUGUGUUUUUAACAAGUUACAGUGAAGUGCAUGGAUUAAGUAUGGCAUACCUUGAAAAGGUUAAUGGUUUUAGAGCAGUUUUUAAGAGGCGAGAGAUUGGGUGUCAUGCUAUUAGAUGGCUUGACAAAGGUGACUUCAGGCUCUUCUCACAUCAGAUUCCUGCUAGAAAGCUUUCUGAAGAGGAGGCUCCUAAUAUUUCUGGCUGUUGUUGGGAGCUUGAUCCUGCUUCACUCCCACCGGAUUUACUCACAAUUUGUCAGAGAAAAUGAAGUUAUUUUGUGAUCUAAUGCAAUGCCAUUCUUGUGUGAAUGGUAGUAACUAGUAUUGGGUUGUAUUUGGCAGUUGUGGAACUUUUUCACCUUUUGAUACUCAAAUCUCAUUGGAAAUUAGAAUUUUAUCUUAAGUUGAUGUUCUUUGUUCAAGUGUUGAAUAGUUUAUGCUUAAUCUUGUCUGCUUUUUAGGCAAAGUUGGCGAUGGGCUAUUUAAAUUACCGAAUAAUGUCACAAUUUGUAAGCCACUGAAUGUUAAAAUAUAUUAUAAUCAGUAUUUGCUUUGGGAUGGAAGAAACUUUAUACUGUAUUUCAUUUGCUCGUGGUGGAUUUGGAAGAGGAUAUAGUUUUUCACAUGUAGAAGGACAGAAUUUGAAUGAAGGUUAGCAAGAAUGCAGGACAGAAUGAUCUUUGUUUCAGCUUGAAAUAUGAUGUUCAUGUGUUGUGCACAAUUUUGAGAAUAUUGAGGUACACACAUUGCUGAUUUUGGGGAAAUUAAUUAGUACACAUACUCUAUUUACUUUGGUAGAG
Chenopodium quinoa (quinoa) is the source of this 2579-nucleotide RNA transcript. It is a transcript of the gene named vacuolar protein sorting-associated protein 25, with no coding region annotated. The record is from RefSeq and is a predicted model, not a curated record. NCBI's taxonomy places the organism in Eukaryota, Viridiplantae, Streptophyta, Magnoliopsida, Caryophyllales, Amaranthaceae. The transcript has 3 exons.